RNAcentral lists this long non-coding RNA (217 nucleotides) under Elaeis guineensis (African oil palm). RNAcentral's name for it is "long non-coding RNA (EGUI_LNC001687)". The record is from RNAcentral. Lineage: Eukaryota; Viridiplantae; Streptophyta; Magnoliopsida; Arecales; Arecaceae.
CAAUCUCUGAAUCUCUCCCUACCAACCUUAGAAAGUUCAAUGGAUCAACCUUUCUAUGGAUAAACGUACAUAUAGACACAAACUUAGGGACACUACUCCACUAUGGCCUUUGGUAGGGGUGUAUACAGCCUGAUUUGAUCUGAUCUGGGGAUAUUAGUAAACCAAACUAAUAAAUUAUAAUUUAUCAAUUUUACAAAUCAAAUCAGACCAUAUUGUC